Molecule: ribosomal RNA, 427 nt
Filed under: uncultured eukaryote
Lineage: Eukaryota
Description: SSU rRNA
Rfam family: Eukaryotic small subunit ribosomal RNA
Source: RNAcentral
AAAAUGAGGAGGUAGUGAAGAGAAAUAACGAUGUUAGUCUUUUUAAGGCUGACAAUCGGAAUGGGAACACUGUAAAAAGGUUAUCGAUUAACAAUUGGAGGGCAAGUCUGGUGCCAGCAGCCGCGGUAAUUCCAGCUCCAAUAAGGAAAACUAAAGUUGCUGUGUUUAAAAAGCUCGUAGUUGAAUUUCGGGUAUUUGUUGCUAGCUGGUCUAACUGGCCAUGUUGGUUAACAGAUCCUCAUUUGCUGGACGGCUGGCGAUGAUCUUUAUCGAUUGUCGUCAGUUGCCAGAACGUUUACUUUGAGAAAAUUAGAGUGCUAAAAGCAGGCUCACGCCUAUAUAUAUUGCAUGGAAUAAUGAAAUAAGAUCUCGAUUUUAUUUCGUUGGUUUUUAGAAAUUGAGAUAAUGAUUAAUAGGAUCAGAGGGG